RNAcentral lists this transfer RNA (68 nucleotides) under Marmota monax (woodchuck). RNAcentral's name for it is "tRNA.Ala". The stretch from base 3 to 63 matches the Rfam family "tRNA", at positions 6 to 65 of the family's 71-position model. From Rfam's summary of the family: Transfer RNA (tRNA) molecules are approximately 80 nucleotides in length. Their secondary structure includes four short double-helical elements and three loops (D, anti-codon, and T loops). The record is from RNAcentral. Lineage: Eukaryota; Metazoa; Chordata; Mammalia; Rodentia; Sciuridae.
GCUGUGGCUCAGUGGUAGAGCUCUUGCCUUGCAUGUGUGAGGCACUGGGUUCAAUUCUCAGCACUGCA